This is a long non-coding RNA of Neofelis nebulosa (Clouded leopard), 1988 nucleotides long. RefSeq lists it as uncharacterized. Lineage: Eukaryota; Metazoa; Chordata; Mammalia; Carnivora; Felidae. The record is from RefSeq and is a predicted model, not a curated record. The transcript is spliced from 4 exons.
UUUCAUUAUAUUUUAUAUUUUCUUUAUUGUUUUGUAUCACAUUACAGUAUCAUAAUGAUUUUCGUGUGAAUAUUUUUGGAUUGUGGGACAAAUCAUCUGAGGUUCCAUUAUUUCUUAUGGGGACAUUGGCUUUGCUAUACAAGUGCUUUGGAUUACAAGAUGUUUCUGGAACAAAUUAUGCUCGCAAACUGAGGCUUUUACUGUAUUUAGUUUUUUGUAUAUUUAAAGUAGCAUUGGUCAUAGUUUGUAUCUUAUAAAAUUAGUUUCAGUGCUCUGUUUAUGAGAGCUUUUAUAGUAUGUUAGAGCCAGUUUGGACUUCCAUCCCCAACCAAGUUGGAGGUUGGUAGGACACAAAAGGUUUUGCUCAGACCCAAAUGCCGCUUGAAAAAAAGGAGAAAUAUAAGCCCUUUCUAAUCUCUCUGGGAGCACAAAUGAUUUAUAGAUAUGACAUUUAACCACAAUCCCUUUGAUAUCAUUUGAGUUCAGCAAGGAACAAUUUCUUGAUGUUGUUUGUUUGAACAGAAAUAGCAAACUUGUGCAAAUGUUGGGCAAAGAUUUCUUCUAGGAACUCUGAAAAAGAUGAUUAUGUCAGAUAUAUCUGGACACAAUAAAUGACAGUCAUGUUAUUUCCAUCUUUUUAUUUCCCAGGACAAAGGGGCAAAUUCAGCAUAUGAUGAGUGUUGGGGCUUCAGGACAAUACAAGGAAGUUUGGCUGUGAAGAAUUCCUUUGGAUGUUAAUUUUCAUGAUUAAAUGUGUGAUUGAAACUGAUGCAAAAAAACUUCAAGAAAAGGAGGCAUGUAAAGAUGACAAAGACAAAGAUGAUAGACUGUUUCUUAAUGACCGAACAAUUGUUAACACUAAGAUACCAGAACCAGCAAAUUGUGGAUAAUAACUGAAAGCCAGAUCCUCAGAUAAUUUAAUCCUUGAGAAAAGACCACGGAAACAGAAGAAUAAGAGAACUCAGAGCCAUCAACAGAUAAAUUCCAGUGGACUUGAUCACUGGAAGAUCACUCAAAGAUUCCCGUCUUUGUAACUUUUAAGGACUCCUUGUACAUUGUUAUGUGGGACAAUUGACAGACACUAAUGCUGGAAGCCGAGCCAUCCCAGCCUGAGUGCCAAAGCCUGGGCUGUGGACGGAUUGGUGACUGCAAGGCGGCCAACCGACAGUGAAGCUUCUUGUACUCCUGCUUUUAGGUAAUUUGGCCUUAAAACUACCUGGGGUAUAGUCUGUUGGGGAAUUGCCCUUGACAGGCCCCCUGGGAAAAGAACCAGUAGGAAAGGAAAUAAGGUUCCGCAAGAAAUUGUGCGGCCUUACGUUUCGCCCUUGCCAUCCCCUAUGGGGACACCUCAUACCUUUGCCAGCAAAGAGGGCCUGUAUAGGAGAGACAUAUGGAUUUGAAAGCCCCACUCUGGUAACUAAGGAGUGUAUCUAUGGACACAGGUCUCUCUGACCCCUAGGCCCACUUGGCCCCCAGGAGGCAUUCCAGAUGAUGAUUGAACCUAGUUGGUUAAGUUACAGAAUGGUUCAUUGGUUCCUAGGUGCAUUGUGUCUCUGAGAAUGUAUAAGGCGUGGGUUUCUAAGGCCCUCUUGGCCCCCUUCCUGGCACCUCGGACCCAGGCGAACACUUUGGUUCUUCAAAACCACAAAUGGUUCAGGGAAACAACUAAGAGGUCAUGUCCCUGUAACUGUUCCAUUUGAGGUGUUGAGAGAUAAAUAACCUUUCGUGAAAACAACAAAGCAAAUACUUUAUAAAUUAUAGAUAAACAUAGAUACAUAAUAAAAACAAUAAAAGAAAUUAAUCAAUAAGCAAAGGGCAGGAGGGAACGUUAUGACAAAACAAUCAUGUUAUUCCUUAUUGGGUGAUUAUACAAAAGAACAAUUUUAGAAUUGGGUAAUGUUAGAAAAACAUAGAUGACGUAUGUUACAAGGAAAUCAUUAACAUAUAUAAUGCCACGUUUACUGCAAUAAAUCGGCCAGUUCAACACA